AAUCCUGUUACACCUGGGAUUUAGGCACUUUCAAUCUGAAAAAAUGCACAUCCUUUCAGCACUCUGGACGGACUUGAGAACUGUCCUUACGUGACCUAAAGCUGGAGUAUUUUGAGAUUGGAGAAUUAAG
This is an unclassified non-coding RNA of Gorilla gorilla gorilla (western lowland gorilla), 130 nucleotides long. The record is from Ensembl. Lineage: Eukaryota; Metazoa; Chordata; Mammalia; Primates; Hominidae.